Molecule: non-coding RNA, 1994 nt
Organism: Taeniopygia guttata (zebra finch)
Lineage: Eukaryota; Metazoa; Chordata; Aves; Passeriformes; Estrildidae
Source: RefSeq, a predicted model, not a curated record
GCGCCCGGCGGGGGCUGCGAGCGGCGAGGGCCGGGCCGCGGGGUCCCCCCCGCCUCCGCCCCCUCUCCCCCGGGAGCCGCCGGUGUGCGGCCGCUCGACACCCGCGCUCGGGGGCGGCCGUGGGGGUGAGCGGAGGCCCCCGCGAGGGGAGGGGGUCUGGCAGCGCCUCCGGCACUUCUUGCUCGGGUUUAUCAUUCCAGAUGCCGAGGAAGGGUUGUCACGGCACUUGGACUCGCAGUGGGCAGUAGGGCUGGGAUGUGAGUGCCCCAGGUCACAGCCUGACCUUUGGCCCUGGGAAGGGAGCGUUCAGCAGCUGGGGCUCAGCCCCUGGACGCUGCCAUUCCCCAAAUCACACUCAUCUGUGGGUCACCUUCAUCCCCAAAAUGGAUAACAAAGUUUCAUUGCAAGUAGAAAUCCAGAAUCCAUGCUCCCUGUUGGUGCCAUCUUACCAUUUAUCUUCCUAAGAUAAAUAACAAUUCAAGUAAAAAACUUGUCUUUUGGGGAAAACUGCUGCCUUAAGUUAUACCUUGAUUUAUAUCGCUAUUUUACUGAAUUUGCACUGACUGUGGAGGCAGGUCCCUGCCCCCAUGGGAAGGCUCCCAGGAUCAAGAAGAACAGGUCCCAAAUGCCCUGGAGUUGUAGCACUUUGGAUAUGCAGGGAACACAAACAGAUGCUCCUAAAGGCGUCCCUGAGGUUCCCAAAGCAGGGCACGGCUGGGAUCACCCAUUCCCUGGAUGAGGCUCUGCAUCCUCGGCCCCUGGGCUCAGCACUGGCCUGAUUGGAAGAACCAGGAUGGAGCUUGGCACGUUGGGAAUGUGUUGGGAGCGUGUCCUGCUCCUCCGUCCGGUCUGUGGUGUGACAGGGCCGUCACAUGUGCCCAGGCUGUUGCUGCCCGAGGGACAUCAUCUCCCCUGCCUCUGGUCCUCAUUUUCAUGUUCAUUUCCUCUCUUCUAAAGGAAAAUGAUAAUUAUUUAUCAGAAGCAAAAAGCUGUGUAUCCACGUAAUGGCCUGGGAGGUGUAGGUAAACACACACUGCGUUGUUUUGGAAGGUGGAAAGGGAAGAAUGCCCCUUUAAUCUGAGUUAUUCAUGCGUAGGGAAAACAAAAUUUCUGGUGGUAACAGUGUUUAAUACAUUUAUUUUGUUACUUUUGAGAGCUCACUGCACUGACACUAGUGCCAGGAGGCCGGGUGAAACUUUGUUACCAGGAGUUCAGAGUCUCCUUAAUUAUAACCCUCUCCACUUUUCAUAGCAAUGGCUACUUCUCAUUUUGGAGACACUUAAGAAUUUUUUUUGCUCUAGAAAACCCUGGAGAACAGCCAGGUGUCCCCUGGGGUGGAACAGGGCGAGGGACAGAUGUACACACAGAAGCUGAGGAAGGCAAAGAUGGGAAUAAAACACCCUGGACACCUCAGCGGGAGCGUCCCUGGUGUUCCCCAUCGUUUGGCAGGGUGACUGCGAGGUGUGAAACAACUGGAAAACAGUGUCAGCACCAGGGUGUGAACACCAGCCGUGAGGGACUGGAGCCUGUGGCAUCCAAAUCCCUUCAGACAAAGUGCAGGUGUGUGUGGAGAUACUGAAACACCUGCUCAAGCACUGACUGAGGAAAAGCCCUGCUUGACCAGGAACUGCAUCAUUCCAGCUUUCCAUGGAGGGUGGUUGGAUGAAUAAGAAGGUAUUGAUAUCCUGUGACUUAUUCCUGCAAAUGCCUGGGAAUAAGCUACUAAAUCACCUCAGGACAAGCCUGCCUGCAGUAGAGACUAAAUCAGUAUAAAUAGGAAUUUAAAAAGUUAUUUGCCUCCCCAAACCAGCUGCAGAGACCAGGCCUGAAGUUUAUUAUUAAUGUUGCUCACCCAGUGUGGGCUGGCAGAGGUAAAAAAGGUGUUUGCCUGACAAAUGCUGUGUGCCCUUUCCCACACCACUGGAGAUCCCAGCGCCAGGAGCGGUUCUGUGCAGAGCCUAAGAGAUCAAAGUCCUAUUAAAAGAAACUCCUAU